CCCAUCUCUUUCUCUCUGUGUGUCCUUCAUGAAUAGGAGCCACUCCACGGACCUGUGACAUGAGACGGCACUGGCCAAAGGAGGACGUGGGUCUGCGAUGGGGACAGGACUGAGCCAGGAAGGCGAACACAGCAGAUUUUUAUGACCGCGCCCCUCCGGGGUGAACUCAGCAUCACCCCAUCCUAGGCUCCUCCGCCAUGAUGUCCUGCCUCGUCCUGGGCCCAGAGCUAUGGAGUCCCCGGACCACAGACGGAGCCUCGGAAUCCAGGAGCCAAGCAUAAACAAUACAAUAACAGUGGAAUCCAGCAAUAAUAUGAAGUGUAUUGUGCCAGCCUGAGGACCAGGACUACGUCAAGGCCAGCUGUGGACGUCCAGCCACACGUUGGUGGCUGUAGGUCCAUGUCUUCCUGUUGACCUCAGGAGGGCCCCUGCACGCGGCCAGGCUUACCAACAGGACACCCUUGGGAGAGAGAAGUGCACUUACCAGGAAAUUCAGCCCUGACCCAACGUGUCAUUUAACGGAUGGGUGGAAUUCGCUCAGGUUUUCCCCAGUGCCAUCCGCCCGGGAGGCUUUCUGUCCCCGUGGCCUAGCAUUCACUCCGCGGUCCCAGCUGCAGUGGCCGUCUCUCCUCUGAUGCACAGCGAGUUGUCCCGUGGUGUCCCUCCAUCUAGCUUUGUCAGCUGUUUUCUUUUUCCCUUUAUUCAUGUUUUCCUUGCUGGGGACGGAACCCAGGGGCUCUCAACCCUGAGCCACAGCCCGGCCCUUUUGAUAUUUUAUUUAGAGAGAGAGUCUUGCUGAGUUGCUUAGGGCCUUGCGAAGUUGCUGAGGCUGGCUUUGAACUUGUGAUCCUCCUACCUCAGCCUCCUGAGCUGCUGGGAUUAUAGGCGUGCACCGUGGUGCCCAGCUUGCCUGCUGUUUUCGAAAGCUGGAUGUGUGUUUCCGGUGGAGUGAAUCCUGAGGUCUGUGUCUUUUGCUUGAAUCUUUGAAAAACAAACAAACAAAAACCAAAAAACAAACAAACAAACAAAAAACCCCCCCAAAACCCAAACUAAUCGCAAAGAUUAAAACCUGAGAGAUUGUCUGCUUGUCUUGACUUCUGUGUCCUCUCAUGGACAGAGAGCUCUGCCCUGGGCCCCUGGACUGGGAUCCUUCAGGGAACGGUCCUGCAGCUGGGUGGUGGGUAUCUGAGAUGGGGCAGGUGUGAUGGGUGCCGUCCCCCCUCAUCGGGGUGAGUCCUCCUGGACAUGUAGGUGUUGAUUGUGCAAUUCUCUUUGGGUCUGACCCACCCAAUUCAGAGGCCAUUUUAGAGCCCCUGGGAGGCAGAGGAGUGGCCUCUGGGUGCA
Long non-coding RNA from Marmota monax (woodchuck), 1344 nucleotides. RefSeq lists it as uncharacterized. The transcript is spliced from 3 exons. NCBI's taxonomy places the organism in Eukaryota, Metazoa, Chordata, Mammalia, Rodentia, Sciuridae. The record is from RefSeq and is a predicted model, not a curated record.